This is a long non-coding RNA of Corticium candelabrum, 520 nucleotides long. RefSeq lists it as uncharacterized. The transcript is spliced from 3 exons. The record is from RefSeq and is a predicted model, not a curated record. Lineage: Eukaryota; Metazoa; Porifera; Homoscleromorpha; Homosclerophorida; Plakinidae.
AGCUGCCUACGAAGGGCACGUCCUAGAUGACAGACUGUCAUAUACGUAUACAUGGGCACAGCUUUCUAUAACUCCUGCAGUGGAGGAGACAUUCCCACCAGAGGAGAAUUUAGUCCAUCAAUUGUAGGAAACUGAUCCCUUAGAAGACGUUGUGCAGCUGAAAUGUGUGUGUCAUAGAGCCAUUGCCCACCUAGCAACCUCAGUUCAUCUCCUCUGUCAAGCUGAAGAUGAGCACAUCCGACCACGAUGGCACUUGGGGGAGCACAGUUUCUUAUUUGCCCGGCAGCUACAUUUCUUCACAACGGUACAACUAUUGUUGCACUUACAGUCACUGGUCGAUAACGCGUUUGAUGGCUUGAUGGCUUUGUUGAUGGCUUUGUUGAUGUUGAUGGCUUUGUUGAUGGCUUUGUUGGUUGCUUUAAACUAGCAAGAUUCAUACAUUUUACUCCACGGUGGCACUUGCUGUGGCACACAGUACCAUUAUGAAGGCAUGGACACUGUCUUCCUGUCACACAUCCCU